Molecule: transfer RNA, 74 nt
Filed under: Elizabethkingia anophelis
Lineage: Bacteria; Pseudomonadati; Bacteroidota; Flavobacteriia; Flavobacteriales; Weeksellaceae
Description: tRNA-Met
Source: RNAcentral
GCGAGAGUAAGUCAAUGGUUUGGCUACUUGGGUCAUUUCCAAGUUGUGCACGAGGUUCGAUUCCUCCUCUCGCU